Long non-coding RNA from Physeter macrocephalus (sperm whale), 1542 nucleotides. RefSeq lists it as uncharacterized. Lineage: Eukaryota; Metazoa; Chordata; Mammalia; Artiodactyla; Physeteridae. The record is from RefSeq and is a predicted model, not a curated record. The transcript is spliced from 4 exons.
GACAGCCCCGAGCACAGCUGUGUAUCACGACGCCGCGUGCCCUGCAGGCACACCUAGUCCGGUGAGGGAAAGGGAAAGGACAGCCCCCAGCAGCAAGUGCCACCAGUGGGACAGUUCACAGAGGCCCAUCACGUGUGAAAUACCAACAACAGCUACCAGCAAGCUCUUAACUGUCUCCACUGUGUAGCCUUGGAGAAGUUACUUAACUCUCACGGCCUCAGUUUCCUCCUCUGCGAAGAGGGUUGCUGUGAGGAUUCAAUAAGAAAAGUGCUUAGGGGAGGCCAGGAGCUGUAUAAACAGCGGAGGAGUAAACAGGACAAAGAGGGAACAACUGAUUUUGCCCAAGGACACCGACUGGUAAAGAGUAAACGGUGACACUGGCUUUUGAGCCCCAGCAGUCUAACCCAAAUCUGUGCUUUCAAGCCAGACUGAACCCAAAGGAUGAGAACUGGCCAGAAGGAGGUGUGUGGGUGGUCCCAGCUCUGCCAUUUACUGCCUGGGGGACUUCCAGCAAGUCCCUGGACCUCUGGGAGCCUCAGUGUCCUCAUCUGAAGAAAUGUGACAACUCUUGUCUUCUAAGGUGCUGACAAUAAUGGCCCGAAACUGGGUCACCCACAGGUCUGCUUUCUCCAACGUUCCAGGCCUUGUUCCCUUUGUCCUGCUGGCCGAGGCGGGGCUGGGUCUCUGAGAGGCUGCUGUCACAAGGAACAUUCCAGAUGCCAUUGGUCUCCUAUGGCUCCAGGACUGAUGCGGGAAGUUGGGUGCGACGCACGAAGAAGACCAGAUCGAGGGUUCGGGGCCCACCGACCUGUCACAGAUACUGCCUGGGCCCAAGGUUGAGACUGUAAGCCCUCUGAGGAUAAACAAAGCUGCUGUGAACAUUCGCUGAGGUGCCAGCGCAGGUCUGCCGGUGUCCUGAACAAUUCCAGCACUGCAUCUGAUCCUUACGACAUCAUUUUCCAGGAGGGGAAACUGAGUCUCAGAGAGACCAAGCACCAUGACCAAGGAACACAGGGCUCUCAGGUUUCCAUAUUAUGUUUUGAGGACCAGUCUUCCUCACCCGUAGAAGAGGAAACAGUCACUUGUUAUUGUGAAAGAAACAAGUGUUUGCAAAGAUCUUACCUCUGGACCUAGUUCAUGCUAAAUCUUCAACGAAAUAAAGAUGAAAGUAUAUCAGAUAGAAGUGUAACUCACUCAAGCCCCUACCCCAGUUGUAACACUCACACUCUUUCUGCCUCCCUAAGAGAACAGGGCAGACUGCAAGAGCCCUGCCCACUCCUCCCAGAGGCCAGGAGGGCACAGGGCAGCUGGCAGGUAAACCUUCACCCACAUGCCGGCCACCCUUUUCCUAGUAGCUCUGACUGCCACUGACUUUUCCACCAGGUGCUACCUAGCCCAGCUGUUGACCACAUGGACAUCUGGAUCCCAGGAAGGGAUCAGCCCCCACUCUCUCCCACAUUACUAAAGGAUUGAGACACGCCAAGGCACCUGCCCAAGGCCCGUGUGGCCAGGAUGGCUGCCCUCUGGAGUGGGAAGGAAGCU